Molecule: ribosomal RNA, 499 nt
Filed under: uncultured bacterium
Lineage: Bacteria
Description: bacterial SSU rRNA
Rfam family: Bacterial small subunit ribosomal RNA
Source: RNAcentral
CGGCGUGCUUAACACAUGCAAGUCGAACGCGAAAGGGACUUCGGUCCUGAGUAAAGUGGCGCACGGGUGAGUAACGCGUAGAUAACCUGUCUUCAUGUCUGGAGUAAUACGCCGAAAGGGGUACUAAUACCGGAUAUUCUUGCUUUUCAUAAGUUAUGCAAGCAAAGGUGGCCUCUGCAUAUGCUACUGCAUGAAGAGGGGUCUGCGUACCAUUAGCUAGUAGGUGGGGUAAUGGCCUACCUAGGCGACGAUGGUUAGCGGGUCUGAGAGGAUGAUCCGCCACACUGGCACUGGAACACGGGCCAGACUCCUACGGGAGGCAGCAGUGAGGAAUAUUGCGCAAUGGGGGAAACCCUGACGCAGCGACGCCGCGUGAGUGAAGGAAGGCCUUCGGGUCGUAAAGCUCUGUCAAGAGGAAAGAAGUGUACAAUGGCUAAUACCUGUUGUAUUUGACGGUACCUCUAAAGGAAGCACCGGCUAACUCCGUGCCAGCAGCGGC